This 64-nucleotide transfer RNA is filed under the name Platerodrilus sp. UPOL 000586. RNAcentral's name for it is "tRNA-Phe". The record is from RNAcentral. Lineage: Eukaryota; Metazoa; Arthropoda; Insecta; Coleoptera; Lycidae.
AUAUUUUAAGAAAAAUUUCACCUUAAUAUCUUCAAUAUUAAACUCUUAUUAAGCUAUUAAAAUA